This is a long non-coding RNA of Xyrauchen texanus (razorback sucker), 8871 nucleotides long. RefSeq lists it as uncharacterized. The transcript has 11 exons. NCBI's taxonomy places the organism in Eukaryota, Metazoa, Chordata, Actinopteri, Cypriniformes, Catostomidae. The record is from RefSeq and is a predicted model, not a curated record.
GAGAGCACACACGAGCCCUGCUUGUGUGACAGAACUAAACAUUCAAACUUAGCCUCGUUUCACUUUAGAUCUAUGGUAUUAGUCUGAUUUUAUUUUAGAUUUCGCCUUCCAAAGAUUAUAAAAAGAAUAUUUAUACAUAAGCCGCAUUCUGUCUAGCACAACUUCCUUCCCUUCACAGCGGUGCAAUGACAUUUCUUUCCGUUAAACUUAACGUCAGAAUCAGCACGAUCGGUGAUUGUUGUAAAAUGCAGUCUAGCUACUGUUGCUAAAUUGCGGGAUGCUUUAAUUAUAAAAAGAGCGCAAGAGAUACCGUUCCCAAGGCGGCGCACGCUCCGAAACGGACCGCAAUGAGACAAGCAAAGUAUAGGCUACUUUGGGUUUCAUGUGCGUCUAUUAACUAUACACAAAGAUAUGUCAAAACGAUCGGCUUGGAGAUUCACUUAAACACAGUUUAUGUCUUAAAUGGAUGUAGUUAUGGAAAUAGCAUCAGGAUAUGGUGCAUCAGGAGCCUAUUAGAUCUGCACUCAGUCUUCAAGGGGAAGCAGUCUAAUAAACAUGUGACGAUUGAGCCAUUACUGCGAAUCAAACAACAAAAGGCAAAUAGAAAAUCACUUACAGUUCUUGAAUGAAUAACUUCUGCAUUAAUCAGCAUUAAUCUAUCUAUGAUAAACUAUGCAGUGUUAUUUUACAAUUGAUUACUUUAUUAGAUUUCUUUUUAGACCACACCUGAACAGUAAUGUUAGUAGACCUUCCUGAAAUUAAAUCACUGUGCCUAUAUAAUGUUUAUCUUUUGUUUCUCUAUUGUUUAUCUUUGUUUAAUAUAUAUAUAUAUAUAUAUAUAUAAAUAACAAAAAGAUCCGUUAAGAAUACUGUUAAAGUACCGGAUCGAUAAGCAGUAUCGGUAAGAGUAGUAAUACCAUUAAAACCUUAACGAUGCCCAUCCCUAGUUAUGCCUGUGCUUCUCUUGGAUGCUCUGAAUAUUGGAUUACGUGUCUGGAUUGCCCCUUGAUUAAAGCUGCAUUUGGAUUUCAACCUUAGUGUCUCAGAGCAGUUCGUAACACCUGCUUUGUUUAUUUAAUAUAUAUAUUUAUACAUUAUUUAUACAAUAUGUUUUUACAUUAUACAUUUUUAAUUUAAGUGUACAAGUGCAGAUUGGUCAAGUGUUCAAUAAAUGUAUUUGUUGAGAAAUUGUCUAUCUUAAGUAAUUAUUUGUUACAUUUUAUCUUUCAAAUAAAAGGUUCAAAUAAGAGGUUAAAAACAAGCGCAUAUCGGCCAAAAUAAAUCGGCAGCAUUUAUCGGCCAUCGGCCGACCCGGAUUUCAAAAGAUCGGCAUCGGCCUGAAAAAACCAUAUCGGUCGACCUCUAGUGUGUGUGUGUGUGUGUGUGUUACAUAUUACACACUAUUUAAAAUUAAUACACUGCUGGGUAUGGGGUACCGUCUUGAAUAAGGUGUGACCAUGGGGGAGAAAAUUAUGCUGUUCGCUUGUUCAUGAACAUUUACCGUGGAUUAGAAAGAGGAAGUGCCAUCCGGGGCAGAAGUGUCCAUAACCAGUGGAUUGAGAGGCUUUGGGGAGAUCUCUGGAGAGGUAUGACUAAUGUGUACCACCAGAUUUUCACCUUCCUUGAAAAUGAUAGAAUCAUUGACCGUACCAAUGAGCUGCACUUGUGGGCACUGCAUUAUGUUUACCUGCCACGGAUUAACCGGGACCUUGAAGUUUUCAGGGAACAAAGGAAAAUCCAUGGCUUGCGCACUGUUGGCCACCACACACCAUAUCAGAUAUUUGUUCAAGGAUGUCUUCAGAGGCAAACACCACCACUCACAGCCAUGGCAGAGAUUUUUGGAUCCAACACUGCUCAAGGUGCUGCUGCUGCAAUUCCUGCUCUGAAUUGGCAAGAAAGAGUAACAGUUCCUGCUAACCAAUUCAGUCCAAGACAUGCACAGAUGCAACAACUCCAGGAUGUGGAGACACUGGCAGGACCGAUUGGUAGUCUAGCCAUAGAUGCACUCCAAAGUGUAAUUUACAUUUUGGAACAGUAUUUUUUUUUUGUCAUGCCAUGCCUCUGUGGUGUUUCUUUGUAUCUCUCUCCCGCCGGUGGGACCAGUUAGUCUCUCCGUGUCAGCUAGAGGAGAUACCGGUCCAAAAGGCAACAGUAGACCAGCCUGCUCGCCUGCUGUUGAGGGGUGAGUAAUUGACCAGUUCAUCUUCAGUCUUUACCAUCCUCUUGGCUCUCUUCUCCACCUCGCAUACUCCCAUGUAUAAUAACAGUGGCAUUUAUGCUCUUAAAAUCCUAAUCGUUCUUAUUUUUGGUGAUGACAUCAACAGUUGUAUAUUUCUCUCUGUGUCUCGGCAAAGAGACUGGCAAGAAACUGUUGUACAAUCAAGGGAAGAUAACAUUAUAAUAGCUGCACAGUGUCUAGUGUCUGAAAGAAAGUUAGCUCACAAGGAUUAACUAGUCCUACAACUUUACUUUUGAUCAAAAGUUUUUGUCUGUUACAUGAUGACAAAGUCAACUUUAAUUGUAUAACUCAGGGAGUACUUGCUGUAUUUUGCCUUGUUUUUGAUGCACUUUAAUGUACUGUAUGGAAAAGAUGAUUCUUUAUGAAAUACUUUAUAAUUCUGAAAUUGAGAGGUCCUAUUUUUUUACUUGAAAGAAAAAGCUAAUGGAGCACUUUUAUUUAUAACCAUUGAUUCAUAACCAUUAAUAUUUUGUUAGUACUUAGAGUGCAGUGUUAUGUUGCAUCAUGCAGUAAAAGUACUGAGUAAAUGUGAUGUUUGUUACCUCAAUAAAUUUAAGGUCAUUCCUGUUUUAUUUGUGUACAUUUUAAUCAUUAACAUUAAAAGCACACUCUUUUUACGACUGAAAUAACAAUAAAGGGUAAAAAAAAACUGAAUUCGCAAAAAUUAAAACGGAAAAAACGGAAUUUUCAAAAAUUAAAACGGAAAAAACGGAAUUUGGGAAAAAGAAAACAGAAUUUGGGAAAAAAUAAAACGGAUUUUAUAGGGCCCUAUAUAUCAAUUAAGACGAAGUUGAUCUUAAAUUGUUAAAAGUGUUUCCCACCCCAAGCACCUGGUUAAAAUCAGGAAAUUGUCAUUAUUUUACCAUUUCAUUGGGAUUAAGGGUAUGGGCUAGUCUAGUAUUCCCCCUGCUGGUCAUAAUCUACAUUCAAUAAAAAUGUUCAGAGUAGUUUCAUGUUUUCCAAAUACAUAUUUAUUACAAUGGUCUGUAUCCUAAACCAACAUUUAGUGAGUACCACUGUUGUAACUGCAGCCACACAAUUGUUGAUGUAAUGAUAUAAAACUAAAGAUUGAUGAAGGGUGUAAAAAGCAAGAAUGUCCACUGAUGUGUGUGGUUUUUUUUUUUUAUCGAAAGAGGUAGUAGUGGAGCAAAAGGAGGCAAUUUAUCUUUAUGAAAAUAACUUAUAACUUUACAAUUUAUUUUAAGUCUUAAAACUGCAAUACAAAUAUUUAAUUUUUGUAGGCUACACACAAAAGAAAAGGACCAAGAAAUUAGAGGAUCCUUAGUAUGUUAAAUAGUGGCAGGCAAACCCCCCAGGCUUACAGAAAUGGUUUAACCCUACUACUCAGCAGCCAAUGGAAAAGUACAACACUCACCCCUUCAAACUGGACAAGUGGCCAAAUGGCUCAGAAUCACAUGAAAUCAACCAAGUGUGCCGCACAAGCCCUCAAAAGUGAAGCCAAAACGUCUCGAUCGCCCCACGGUGACUGGUCCUAGUAUAGGUCAUAAACCCCGCCUCCCCAUGUUAUUCAACAGGACGUGAGACCAACUAAACUAUUAAAUUACACUUCACAUAUCUUUUUUUCCAAAGAUAGUUUGUCAUUUACUGUAGUUUCUAUCAUGUUGAUGUAAUUUCAAAAUAAGUUUGUUUUUAGUUAGUUAUUUGAUGCUAUAAAAACGGUGCUGUGACAUCAUGAUUGACAGCUGUGAUUGACAGGUUCUCUGAGCAAAGUAGUCACUGAAGCACCAACAGACUUUUUUCGGGAUCUUCGGAGGACUGAGGAGAUUGGAGCUUUAAAUUUAGUAUCUAAAUUUCUAUAAUUAAUUAUUUCACACCGUCAUAAGUCAAAAGUGCAGGGGCGUGUGCUUGCGAUUGAUUCAGCGAGAGUGAGGGCGGGGCCUUGAUUUUGCAGCUUUACUUCCUGCUCACUACUGCACAGGUCUGGUCACGAAAUCGCAACUGCGCAGACUCAAGUCCCAAGAUGUCAGCGCCAUAUCAGGACACUGGCGGCUUCAGUUCUCACCAAUGGAAAAGAGCGAUUGGGCGUCGUCCAUCUUUUUUUACAGUCGAUGAAAUCAUCACGUUGUCAACGCGUAGAGAAACCAGUAUCAGAAGCUCCAAAUGUUUAAGGUUAUAUGCACUGAUUUUAGGUAGUUAAAAAUAAUAUGAAUAUAGGCUACCUAAUUUAUUAUAAGUGUUCUGAUGCACAGUUAGUUAAAUGUAAGACAUAAUCACAAAUUGUGUAAUUAUAAUAAUUUACUGAGAAUCCAAGCAUAAUGUAUGUCUCUUAAGUAACUACAGCCAAUAAACAAAAUGGUGUAACGUAUAGAAUUGUUGAUUUAACAUUAACUCAUGUAAGGUUGUUGAAUUACAUUUUUAGUUUGACAGGCAUUAUCAUCAGAAGUGGAAUCAGCUGCAAGGGCUCUUAUUGAUGUGUUAGCCAGGGGCCUGGCUCCAUCUUCAGCUAGUAGCAUUGGUACAUCAAGGAGUGUUAAUACACCAACAAGAGAAAAUGUGCGAAUGAGUGGGACAAGUGCCAUUACUCCUUUGCCGUCUGUGCCAGCACCAGAAAAUAGGGUGAGGCAGGCAUUAAAAAGGCAGUUCCCAAGUAUGUUUAGGACUGAAAAAGACCAUCCUAAGGGGAAAAAAAAAAUUAUCUUUGGCCAAACCUGUCAAUGUGAAAAAAUAUAUGUGCUCUCCGAACCAACAAUGUUUACUCCAAAAGGAGAUCAAGACUUGGAACUUGUAUGUGCUGGGCUUGGGAAAAGGCUGUUAAGUGUUCCAGACACCUUUAAACACAGUGAGAUUGUCACUCUGCUUGAGGAAGAAUUUCCUAAAUUAAAAAAUCUUCAGGGAGGCUGGAUGUUUUACAAAUCUACAGAAAUCAGUAAAUGAUGUGACUGUGCUUGAUGAUGAUGAUGAUGAUGAUGGAAAUGUUAUUGGAGCCAUUGACCAGCUCAAGCCCACUUCAAACAGAUUUAGAACAAUCUUCCCAGAUCUGUCCCAUUUGCCAGAUUUCUUUCCCAAAUGAUGUCUUGCCUUAUCAUGCAAGCAUUUGAGAGGGAGGACUUUCAGUGGCAGUGAUUCUCCAAGCACUUCAACAAGAGAAGAACUGCCAGGAGCCUCAACUGCACAGUCAUCCACAUCACUAUCAGCAGCAUGGAAAUACGAAACUGACCCUCAGAAAGCAUCUCGAAUGUUCUGUGCAGAAUUGCUUUCCCAAAGUUCGGACUGUCCAUCUAUGUCACUACAGAUCAACCAAUUUGAUACUUUGGAUGAGCAGGACAGUACACUGAUUUUAUUUUAUAAAAUGAACAGUGUUAACUGGUCAGCUCCAUUGAAAUGUAGAUUGACAGGAGAUGCAGCUGUUGGCAAAGGAGUCAAUCGUCACAUCUUUACAUUUGGGUACUUGGACGUGUUAAAAGCCAGAUUAAAGAUCUCAUUAAAGAUCAAAGGUCUCAAAGAAACUGGUAUCUGGCCACUACUAUCCCAAAGACUUGGCAGUCACCAAGUAGUUUUCCCAAGGGAGUCAGAAAUGGACAUUACAGCACAAAAAGUCCUUCAGAAAAUUGCAUGGCCCAAGCCUGUGGAUGAUGAUGAGGACAAUGAUGACUGCAUUGCUGUUGAAAUAAUGAGCAUCAUCACAAGCUACAUGCGACGAUUUAUUGAAGAAGCAUAUCCAAACAUGCUGAGUGACCUAAUAAAGUUCUGGGUGGGAUGGGAGGUGCCAGAAGAGAACCUGGUUUUGGAAGUGGUGACUGCCAAAUUCUCUGUUGCUCAGACGUGUUUCAAUAUGUUGUGCCUUCCCUGUCACUAUCAGAGCUACACCACAUUCAAAAUGGAUAUGGUAAUGUGCCUACAAUCUGUAAAUAGUGGAUUUGGUCUCAUUUAACUAGAAGAGAUAACAGGGGGCAGUGUGUUUAGUAAUGUUCUUAAAUUGCAAAAAGGAUUUAGCCUAAGUUAAGAGUAAAGAAGACAAGAGGCUAAAGUGUUACAAACUUUUACAGUGUUUUAAACUUUAAUCCAAUUUUUUUUCAAGUUGGUAUACUCUUGAAUGUCUUUUAACACAGUUAAAACCUGUUUGUUAGUAAAAACUGUUAAAAAGCAAUGUCAAAGGAAUAGUUCACUCAAAUGUAAUCUGUAGGAUUGUUUUUUUAGAUUAACCUUAAACAAUUUUUCAUACUGCAUAAAGUUUUAAUGAUAUGCACACCACAUGUACAUGUCAAAAAAAUUUAGGAUACCAAUGUUGAAAAAAUGUUUGGCACAUGUUGGUAAACUCUAGUAGGUGUAUAAAAAUAAUGUUAUUUUCUACCAAUAAAUAUUGUACAGUGGGUAAAUAUGAAAAAUGAAAGCUCCACACCUACAGAUUAAGCAGGGUGAACAACAAGGCAAGAAACCGUAAAUGGAAUCUGACAUGGACUAACUUUCAGUUAAACUCUCAACAUACUGGACCGUGCUAAGAUUGAGGUCUACUCCAUAAGACUCAGAAUGUUGCAUGAGGUUGAUGGUUUCUAUAAGUUGUGCCAUUUCAUCAUCUGUCAAUGAAAUGUCAAGCACAGGAAGAUGCACCCCAAGGUUUGGGUCCUCCAAGUAUCCGCUAUCCUCCAGUUCAAUGUUGGGUAUGGCUACAUUCUGAAGAAAACAAAUUUCAUAGAUAAUUUUACUUUUUUUAAAAACUUUUACACAUUUAAUAUUUGCCUCCAUUUUACGUGGAUGCCAAAUUUACCUCUGGAUCCAUAAUUGGGUUUUGGAACUGGCCCACUUGCCACAACUGAAUGGGUGUUAGAUUGUGUUCUGUUCUUAUGGGAUGGUUGUCCCACCCCUCAGAAAAGACAUCCAAGCUGGCCUGGAUGUGUGGCAGUAACACAUAAUGACAGCUGAAUAAAUGGUAGGAGUUGCUGAUAUCCAGCAGGUGACUGUCCUCCAAUGUGUGCAGAAUGUUGUGGUAGAUGCUUGUUACCCCUACGAAUAAAUCACGCCAGAGACGCUCUAUUCUGUAUAAAAAGAAAGAUAGUAUUUAGCCUAGUACAACCAGCAUUGAUUAAGCACACCAUAUAUGACUUGAAUAGGUUAAAGUCUAUUUGGCUCUCUCAUGAAACAAGCUGAAAAAGUGAAGAUCAAACCUGUUCUAAAGUAAACCUUCAUGUUCAUGAGUUUGUGUGAACAACAUUUACAUCUGCUCCUGAUCUAAAGUAAAUUAUAAGACAUCAAUAUUUGAUGCCCUUUGUCCAACUGUAAAACACUCCCAUUUGUCAGUUAUUGGAACUUUCACUCAUGGAUUAAAUUAAUCAUGACUUCAUGUGAAUAGUGAAUUUAUACAUUGGUAACUAAAAACUAUGGAUUUCUAAUGCUGCAUCCAGCAUGCUAGGUGUCACUGGAGCGUCUAAACAACAUAAAACAGUAACACUUGCAACUUAUGGUGAACCCAUAUAGUAGGGGGAAAAAAGUGAGAAUAGUAUGUCCGAAUUCAUACUAUUCAUAAACAGGUUAAAAGCACCCAGAUUACCUACUAUUUCUGCUGAGGUGUACAUUUAAUGAACACUUCACUAUCCCAUGAGGCCAUGGGAGAAGAUUUUUGAUUGGGCAGUAAAGCAAUGCCACUGACGCCAUAGCACACUAAAUGUGGUAUGUUCAAAUUCCAUUUAUACUACACAAAUUUGUACAAUAUAGCAAAUUUUUAAUGGUCAUGAAGAAUUUACUCAAAAGAAGUACAUAAUCUGAAUGCACCUUUAAUGCUGUCAGAGCACUAACAUAAAGUGAAUUUAACUCUGAUUAUGCACACUUUUACCGGCGAUGAAGCUGUUGUCAUCAGUGCCAUGAACUGAAAACUUUAGUUCUGCAAUUCCCACAUGUUCACCGCCAUGAUCUCCUCUCACUCUGCAACAAAAACAUCACACAUUUUGAUGGGUUUCAAUUAUACACAAUUAACUUAACUUUACCAGAUUAUCCAGAAAAGUACAAAAGUAUGUGAUAAAAUAAUAGACAAAAAUAAAUGUUUUGCAACUUAAUAUUAAUUAAUACCUCUGUGGAAACCCAUGUGUAUUCACUGCCUCUGAAAAAUGCCAAAUGGGUGUCUGAGCGGUUGUUGUCUGAAAUCUUCAGGUACAUAAUCUGUUGAAUAUAUUAAAACAUCUACAGCUGAAGAUAGUACAGUAGUAGAGAGAGAUGUUUCUGUACCAACAGAUGACAGUAUUAUUGGGGUUCAAGCUCUUGAAGACCUUUAUCGCUUCUAUUCUGUUUUGGUCUAAGCCAACCCGAGAUGUAUGGCUGACACCAGAACACAUCCAUGAUGGAGAAUUCACAAACACACACAGAAAUGAAAGGGUUAAACUAUAAUAUUUAAUACACACCAAGCAUACUUACACACACACACACACACAGGUUGCUUCUCAAUUCUUAUUUGUGCAUCAUCGUUUCCUUUCGUCACAUCUCAGCUACUCCCCCUGUAGGAUGCGAGGAAAGGCUGCAAGGAAAGUAAAUGAGGACGGAGGAAUCGAAGGAAAGUUUAUUUAUACAUUGGAAUACUCGAUCAUUUGAGCGUCACAUAUAUCACAUCAACAGCGCUCAAAGGAUCUGCCCUUAUGUUGUUGAAGUUUGGUUAUUUAAGAAAUUCAUAACAAAUAAUAAUAAAG